Molecule: ribosomal RNA, 484 nt
Filed under: uncultured bacterium
Lineage: Bacteria
Description: partial 16S ribosomal RNA
Rfam family: Bacterial small subunit ribosomal RNA
Source: RNAcentral
AUUGAACGCUGGCGGCAUGCUUUACACAUGCAAGUCGAACGGCAGCACGGGCUUCGGCCUGGUGGCGAGUGGCGAACGGGUGAGUAAUAUAUCGGAACGUACCCAGAAGUGGGGGAUAACGUAGCGAAAGUUACGCUAAUACCGCAUACGAUCUAUGGAUGAAGGCAGGGGACCGCAAGGCCUUGUGCUCCUGGAGCGGCCGAUAUCUGAUUAGCUAGUUGGUGAGGUAAAGGCUCACCAAGGCGACGAUCAGUAGCUGGUCUGAGAGGACGACCAGCCACACUGGAACUGAGACACGGUCCAGACUCCUACGGGAGGCAGCAGUGGGGAAUUUUGGACAAUGGGCGCAAGCCUGAUCCAGCAAUGCCGCGUGAGUGAAGAAGGCCUUCGGGUUGUAAAGCUCUUUUGUCAGGGAAGAAACGGUAGAGGCUAAUAUCCUUUGCUAAUGACGGUACCUGAAGAAUAAGCACCGGCUAACUACGUG